UCCUUGCAUUUUCAGUUUAUGUUUUUUUAUAUUAUACACCUAUAACAGAAUGUUAUUAAUUGGCUUUAAAUGCCUUUAAACUUAUACAACUUUCAACAACGGAUCUCUUGGCUCUCGCAUCGAUGAAGAACGCAGCGAAAUGCGAUAAGUAAUGUGAAUUGCAGAAUUCAGUGAAUCAUCGAAUCUUUGAACGCACCUUGCGCUCCUUGGUAUUCCGAGGAGCAUGCCUGUUUGAGUGUCAUGAAAUUCUCAACCUUUUCAACCUUUGUUUUGGUGGAUCAGGAUUGGAUGUGGGAGCUUGCAGGCUUGUUCAGAAGUCGGCUCUCCUUAAAUGCAUUAGUGGGACCUUUGUUAAGCCUAGCUUUGGUGUGAUAAUUAUCUAUGCCAUUUGCUCAAGCAGUAUACAAUGAGGUCUUGCUUCUAAUGGUCUCUCUUAGAGACACCUUCUGACAAUUGACCUCAAAUC
This 466-nucleotide ribosomal RNA is filed under the name uncultured fungus. RNAcentral's name for it is "eukaryotic LSU rRNA". The stretch from base 88 to 241 matches the Rfam family "5.8S ribosomal RNA". Lineage: Eukaryota; Fungi. The record is from RNAcentral.